GAUGGUUUUCUCUUACUGAAAGUCUGAUGUGGUAACUUUAAUGCUUCUAUGGCACUUAUAUGGCAUUAAAAUUAAAAAAAAAUAAAAAUAAUGAUUAUUUUUUCUUCUCCAAUCUUAUUUCUUUUUUUUUUCUCAUUAUCUUUCGAUCUCUUUUCUUUGAGGAGGAUAGGGCUAUAGAGGAAAUAGAGGUUUGAAAUGGGAGGAGAAGAUGAUGAAGCCGAUAUCUGC
RNAcentral lists this long non-coding RNA (228 nucleotides) under Elaeis guineensis (African oil palm). RNAcentral describes it as "long non-coding RNA (EGUI_LNC030740)". The record is from RNAcentral. Lineage: Eukaryota; Viridiplantae; Streptophyta; Magnoliopsida; Arecales; Arecaceae.